CCUACGGGAGGCUGCAGUGGGGAAUCUUGCGCAAUGGGCGAAAGCCUGACGCAGCGACGCCGCGUGAGGGAUGAAGGUCUUCGGAUCGUAAACCUCUGUUAGCAGGGAAGAACGUUCACUGUGCUAAUUAUCAGUGAAUUGACGGUACCUGCAAAGGAAGCACCGGCUAACUCCGUGCCAGCAGCCGCGGUAAUACGGAGGGGGCGAGCGUUAACCGGAAUUACUGGGCGUAAAGCGCUCGUAGGCGGUUUUUUAAGUCAAGGGUGAAAGCCCACGGGUCAACGGUGGAGGGUCAUUGGAAACGGUAAAACGGGAGUGCAGAAGAGGAAAGGGGAAUUCAAUGGGGAGCGGGG
RNAcentral lists this ribosomal RNA (353 nucleotides) under uncultured bacterium. RNAcentral describes it as "partial 16S ribosomal RNA". It matches the Rfam family "Bacterial small subunit ribosomal RNA", at positions 338 to 683 of the family's 1533-position model. The record is from RNAcentral.